UGAAUUGAAAGGCAAGAGUUUCUUUGAUUCUUUAGUUGGAGAGUUGAUCACUACGAAGUCCUUUCAUAAAUAUUCCUGACUUUUGCUGGCAGAAUUGUCUCCAGCAUUAGCCACUGAUAAAUUCUUAUGAUACCUUCUGUAUGCUUGUGACUAUUUAAUGAAAUAAUGCUAAUGAUGGACAUGCUAACAGAAACACAUCAGCUAUCCACUGCUUUAUUGGAUUUCUUCAAAGCCAGUACUGGAAAGGACAAGCAUUAAAAUCUGGUGCUUCCUGUGACACAUUACCAGAAGCAAGGUGGCUCCCAGGGCUACGCAAAAAAGAAUGGGUCCAGUGAGGUCCGUUUCAUUCAUAAUGCUGCCAUCUGCUGGCUUCAUUGGGUUUAACACUGUCAAAGUUUUUUGCCAUAUGUAAUCAAAAUGGA
Molecule: long non-coding RNA, 422 nt
Filed under: Pan troglodytes (chimpanzee)
Lineage: Eukaryota; Metazoa; Chordata; Mammalia; Primates; Hominidae
Description: long non-coding RNA NONPTRT012505
Source: RNAcentral